GGCCUCCCAAUUCUUACCAUAGGCUGUGUUUACACUGACUGUAUAGAAAGAGUUAAAAAAAAAGUAAAUGCACCCCAUAUACACCUCAACAGAGGCCCUUUGCCUCUCUGUAUUGUGAAUUGGGGGACAAAA
Small nucleolar RNA from Suncus etruscus (white-toothed pygmy shrew), 132 nucleotides. RefSeq annotates it as small nucleolar RNA SNORA51. The record is from RefSeq and is a predicted model, not a curated record. Lineage: Eukaryota; Metazoa; Chordata; Mammalia; Eulipotyphla; Soricidae. The transcript has a single exon.